RNAcentral lists this transfer RNA (55 nucleotides) under Argiope ocula. RNAcentral's name for it is "tRNA-Phe". Lineage: Eukaryota; Metazoa; Arthropoda; Arachnida; Araneae; Araneidae. The record is from RNAcentral.
AUCUUUUUAGCUUAUCUAAAGAGCACUUUACUGAAGAUAAAGAGGUCUAAAUAUU